Pongo abelii (Sumatran orangutan) is the source of this 157-nucleotide small nuclear RNA. Its record names the gene U1. It matches the Rfam family "U1 spliceosomal RNA". From Rfam's summary of the family: U1 is a small nuclear RNA (snRNA) component of the spliceosome (involved in pre-mRNA splicing). Its 5' end forms complementary base pairs with the 5' splice junction, thus defining the 5' donor site of an intron. NCBI's taxonomy places the organism in Eukaryota, Metazoa, Chordata, Mammalia, Primates, Hominidae. The record is from Ensembl.
AUAAAAAAUUUUAAAACCAUGAUCAUGAAGGUGGUUUUCCCAGGGCGAGGCUCAUCCAUUGCACUCCGGAUGUGCUGAGCCCUGUGGUUUCCCCAAAUGUGGGAAACUGAGCUGCAUAAUUUGUGGUAGUGGGGGUCUGUGUUCGUGCUUUCCCCUU